CGCUGGCGGCGUGCCUAAUACAUGCAAGUUGAACGCAACAAAGACACCAGAGCUUGCUCUACCGUUUUUGUUGAGUAGCGAACGGGUGAGUAACGCGUGGGUAACCUGCCUUGUAGCGGGGGAUAACUAUUGGAAACGAUAGCUAAUACCGCAUAACAAUAGAGAUUGCAUAAUCUUUAUUUGAAAGUGCCAACUGGUACACUAUGAGAUGGACCCGCGUUGUAUUAGCUAGUUGGUAGUGUAAUGGACUACCAAGGCGAUGAUACAUAGCCGACCUGAGAGGGUGAUCGGCCACAUUGGGACUGAGACACGGCCCAAACUCCUACGGGAGGCAGCAGUAGGGAAUCUUCGGCAAUGGACGAAAGUCUGACCGAGCAACGCCGCGUGAGUGAAGAAGGUUUUCGGAUCGUAAAACUCUGUUGUUAGAGAAGAAUGUUGAUUAGAGUGGAAAAUUAAUCAAGUGACGGUAUCUAACCAGAAAGGGACGGCUAACUACGUG
This 499-nucleotide ribosomal RNA is filed under the name uncultured bacterium. RNAcentral's name for it is "bacterial SSU rRNA". It matches the Rfam family "Bacterial small subunit ribosomal RNA", at positions 34 to 507 of the family's 1533-position model. The record is from RNAcentral.